CCUUUUCGUUUUCUUUUCCUUCUAUGCUGCUACUUCUUCUUCUUCCCCACUCUUCCUCUCCUCCAUCAUAAAAAGAAAAAUAACUGAUCCCGGAAGUUCCCUUAACCAUCUCUGCUUACCCAUGGUGUCAUGAACAAGUCAAAAAUAUACUAAAAAAGGUAGUGGGUAUCAAAAUACUAAAGAGGCGGCGUGUAUUAAUUUUCGAGCAGGGCGAAAAAUGAUCCACUGAACUUCUUCCCUGCUAUCUAACGCCUUUGACCAUGGAAAUGGACCACCGAACAUCUUCCCCUACUUUUCGAUCUGGAAAAAAACUUAAUUUUAU
RNAcentral lists this long non-coding RNA (322 nucleotides) under Nicotiana benthamiana. RNAcentral describes it as "long non-coding RNA (NBEN_LNC040408)". The record is from RNAcentral. Lineage: Eukaryota; Viridiplantae; Streptophyta; Magnoliopsida; Solanales; Solanaceae.